UGCCAGCCGCCGCGGUAAGACGGAGGGUGCAAACGUUGUUCGGAAUCAUUGGGCGUAAAGCGCACGUAGGCGGACUAUUAAGUCAGGGGUGAAAUCCCGGGGCUCAACCCCGGAACUGCCUCUGAAACUGGCGAACUUGAGUACGGGAGAGGAAAGUGGAAUUCCGAGUGUAGGGGUGAAAUCCGUAGAUAUUCGGAGGAACACCAGUGGCGAAGGCGGCUUUCUGGACCGAUACUGACGCUGAGACGCGAAAGCGUGGGGAGCUAACAGGAUUCGAUA
RNAcentral lists this ribosomal RNA (279 nucleotides) under uncultured bacterium. Its description in RNAcentral is "partial 16S ribosomal RNA". It matches the Rfam family "Bacterial small subunit ribosomal RNA", at positions 506 to 784 of the family's 1533-position model. The record is from RNAcentral.